CCUACGGGUGGCAGCAGUGGGGAAUAUUGGACAAUGGGCGAAAGCCUGAUCCAGCAAUGCCGCGUGUGUGAAGAAGGUCUUCGGAUUGUAAAGCACUUUCGACGGGGACGAUGAUGACGGUACCCGUAGAAGAAGCCCCGGCUAACUUCGUGCCAGCAGCCGCGGUAAUACGAAGGGGGCUAGCGUUGCUCGGAAUGACUGGGCGUAAAGGGCGCGUAGGCGGUUUAUGCAGUCAGAUGUGAAAGCCCCGGGCUUAACCUGGGAACUGCAUUUGAUACGCUCAGGCUAGAGGGCGAGAGAGGGUUGUGGAAUUCCCAGUGUAGAGGUGAAAUUCGUAGAUAUUGGGAAGAACACCGGUGGCGAAGGCGGCAACCUGGCUCGAUACUGACGCUGAGGCGCGAAAGCGUGGGGAGCAAACAGGAUUAGAUACCCGCGUAGUC
This 440-nucleotide ribosomal RNA is filed under the name uncultured bacterium. Its description in RNAcentral is "bacterial SSU rRNA". It matches the Rfam family "Bacterial small subunit ribosomal RNA", at positions 338 to 795 of the family's 1533-position model. The record is from RNAcentral.